This 1178-nucleotide long non-coding RNA is filed under the name Eucalyptus grandis. RNAcentral describes it as "long non-coding RNA (EGRA_LNC002939)". The record is from RNAcentral. Lineage: Eukaryota; Viridiplantae; Streptophyta; Magnoliopsida; Myrtales; Myrtaceae.
UCCAAGAGAUCUAAACUCGUCAUUCUUGAGAGUCGUGUCACGUUGCGAUCUGAUUUGCAAUAAAGCUUUCUUCAGAUUCAUCACUUGCUAGCUUGCAUUAGAUGUUUAUAACAUAGCAUACAUAUAUGGCUGUGCAAUGUCUUUAUUCCCUCUCACAUGGUUCAUAGAUUACAAAGGUUACUUUUUCAAUGAAGGAUUCACAGGAUAGUCAUAUAGACAUAUCUUGUGUUUUUUGCAGUGUGGAAAUGAUAAAAGAGGUUUCACUGGAGAGUGAUUUGGCUAUUUUGAUUCGUGGCCUUUACUCUGCAAGAAAUAGAAAGAGAAGCAUGUAAGCAGCUUUUUGAAGUACAUGUAGAAGAUUGUCAUUAGGAGACGAUUCUUGUAACUAGUUAUCUUAGGACUUUUUUUUUUUUUUUUGUCAGAAGAACUUAAAAUUUAAUUACUUCAAUUUUUAAAGGAAUAGGAGUCUCAAUAGUACUUUAAUGGAGUGGGACCUAAAACUUGGAUGAUCUUUCCCUUAACGAGGGCGUUGUCUGAGCUACGUGUGUCAGGAAGAAUAGAGUUAAUAUUACAUCUAUAAGUAUAAAAUCUUACACGAUUUAUUGACAUUUUCUAGGCAUCUAUAAUGCAACUUAACAACCGUAUUAAUGACCAUUAACAAUUUUAAAUGCUAGUUUGUUACAUUAGUUACAAUCCAUGACUACUUGACUCCCCUUGCAAAUAGCUGUAUGAAGAGAUAAAUCCCUCUUAGUCAAGAAUGAGGCUAAUAUAUUUAGUUACCUCCCGCUCUCCCGGCAAAGUUUCUGGUAGUAACAGGUGAAUGGGGUGCCCAUACAGUUUGUGCAGAGCCUUUUUAUUGCUACUGAAUAAGACAUUUUUCCCCACGACUCAUUGGGAAUAAUUUCAAUUUUCAUGUAAAUAAUAUUUUCAUACCUUUUUUAGCUGUUUUUUUUAGUCAUUCUUGCAAAGUAAAUGAAUACAUGUAACUAAUACAUAACUAAAAUAGCUAUCCACUUUUCAAACCUGCAAUACUAACCAUCUGUCUACAGCAGAUCCGUAAUGUUUCCACCCUUCUCUCUUACUUCACUUUGGACUCAUUUAAGGUGUUGAAGGGAAUGGAGCAAGAAAUCUUCAAUCAAUUCAUGAAACUGAGUUGUGAUGUCAUUCGAAUUGAUCGC